Molecule: ribosomal RNA, 253 nt
Filed under: uncultured bacterium
Lineage: Bacteria
Description: partial 16S ribosomal RNA
Rfam family: Bacterial small subunit ribosomal RNA
Source: RNAcentral
UACGUAGGGGGCUAGCGUUAUCCGGAUUUAUUGGGCGUAAAGGGAACGCAGGCGGUCUUUUAAGUCUGAUGUGAAAGCCUUCGGCUUAACCGGAGUAGUGCAUUGGAAACUGGGGGACUUGAGUGCAGAAGAGGAGAGUGGAACUCCAUGUGUAGCGGUGAAAUGCGUAGAUAUAUGGAAGAACACCAGUGGCGAAAGCGGCUCUCUGGUCUGUAACUGACGCUGAGGUUCGAAAGCGUGGGUAGCAAACAGG